RNAcentral lists this ribosomal RNA (505 nucleotides) under uncultured bacterium. Its description in RNAcentral is "partial 16S ribosomal RNA". It matches the Rfam family "Bacterial small subunit ribosomal RNA", at positions 28 to 507 of the family's 1533-position model. The record is from RNAcentral.
GACGAACGCUGGCGGCGUGCCUAAUACAUGCAAGUAGAACGCACAGUUUAUACCUUAGCUUGCUACACCAUAGACUGUGAGUUGCGAACGGGUGAGUAACGCGUAGGUAACCUGCCUGGUAGCGGGGGAUAACUAUUGGAAACGAUAGCUAAUACCGCAUAAUAUUAAUUAUUGCAUGAUAAUUGAUUGAAAGAUGCAACUGCAUCACUACCAGAUGGACCUGCGUUGUAUUAGCUAGUAGGCGAGGUAACGGCUCACCUAGGCGACGAUACAUAGCCGACCUGAGAGGGUGAUCGGCCACACUGGGACUGAGACACGGCCCAGACUCCUACGGGAGGCAGCAGUAGGGAAUCUUCGGCAAUGGACGAAAGUCUGACCGAGCAACGCCGCGUGAGUGAAGAAGGUUUUCGGAUCGGAAAGCUCUGUUGUAAGAGAAGAACGGGUGUGAGAGUGGAAAGUUCACACUGUGACGGUAUCUUACCAGAAAGGGACGGCUAACUACGUG